This 277-nucleotide ribosomal RNA is filed under the name uncultured bacterium. RNAcentral describes it as "partial 16S ribosomal RNA". It matches the Rfam family "Bacterial small subunit ribosomal RNA", at positions 30 to 314 of the family's 1533-position model. The record is from RNAcentral.
AUUGAACGCUGGCGGCAUGCCUUACACAUGCAAGUCGAACGGUAACAGGUUAAGCUGACGAGUGGCGAACGGGUGAGUAAUAUAUCGGAACGUGCCCAGUCGUGGGGGAUAACUGCUCGAAAGAGCAGCUAAUACCGCAUACGACCCGAGGGUGAAAGCGGGGGAUCGCAAGACCUCGCGCGAUUGGAGCGGCCGAUAUCAGAUUAGGUAGUUGGUGGGGUAAAAGCCUACCAAGCCAACGAUCUGUAGCUGGUCUGAGAGGACGACCAGCCACACU